GCAGUCGUGCCGAGUGUUAAGGCGAUGGACUAGAAAUACACUGGGGUCUCACGCACAGGUUCGAAUCCUGUCGACUGCG
RNAcentral lists this transfer RNA (79 nucleotides) under Ixodes scapularis (black-legged tick). It matches the Rfam family "tRNA". From Rfam's summary of the family: Transfer RNA (tRNA) molecules are approximately 80 nucleotides in length. The record is from Rfam by way of RNAcentral. Lineage: Eukaryota; Metazoa; Arthropoda; Arachnida; Ixodida; Ixodidae.